GAUGAAGAACGUAGCGAAAUGCGAUAAGUAAUGUGAAUUGCAGAAUUCCGCGAAUCAUCGAAUCUUUGAACGCACAUUGCGCCCCCUGGUAUUCCGGGGGGCAUGCCUGUCCGAGCGUCAUUGCAACCUUCAAGCGCGGCUUGUGUGUUGGGUCUCGUCCCCCGUGGACGGGCCCGUAAGGCAGUGGCGGCGUCCCGACAUGGUGCCCGAGCGUAUGGGAAUCCUCUUCCGCUCGAAUCGGCCCAUGCGGCGCUGGUCGUAACCAAAUUUUUUACCGGUUGACCUCGGAUCAGGUAGGGAUACCCGCUGAACUUAAGCAUAUCAAUAAGCGGAGGA
Molecule: unclassified non-coding RNA, 336 nt
Filed under: soil metagenome
Description: partial contains 5.8S ribosomal RNA, internal transcribed spacer 2, and large subunit ribosomal RNA
Rfam family: 5.8S ribosomal RNA (bases 1-120)
Source: RNAcentral